RNAcentral lists this transfer RNA (134 nucleotides) under Amylibacter sp. RNAcentral's name for it is "tRNA-Thr". The stretch from base 4 to 64 matches the Rfam family "tRNA", at positions 6 to 65 of the family's 71-position model. The record is from RNAcentral. Lineage: Bacteria; Pseudomonadati; Pseudomonadota; Alphaproteobacteria; Rhodobacterales; Paracoccaceae.
CCCUAUAGCUCAGCUGGUAGAGUAAUUGAUUUGUAAUCAAUAGGUCCGCGGUUCGUGACGUGUGUAACACGGAAAGAGGUUGAGCGAAGCGAACCCUUUGAAAAAGGGCUUGACCUCAAGUCCGUGAAUAGGAC